UUCAAGUCCUCCCAGGCCCACCAAUUUAGGAUUGCUUAACCCACUAAAGACCCUCUCUAUAAGAAAAAUAUCUCUCGUUGGAGAAAGCUCUUUAUAGUCUAGAAUUAUCAAUAAAGUGUUCGGUAAAAUAUCAAAUAUAUUUUGCGAAAAUACUAGCAAUAAUAAAGCUCUUGAUGCAAUAAUAAGGCUCUUGAUAAUGUAAAGCUACUGACGGACUGUCGCUUUAAGGGUUUUGAAGCGUUUUCUUUUAGGGGCCGUAGCUCAG
RNAcentral lists this unclassified non-coding RNA (265 nucleotides) under Bartonella sp. 1160/1. RNAcentral describes it as "partial 16S-23S intergenic spacer". The record is from RNAcentral. Lineage: Bacteria; Pseudomonadati; Pseudomonadota; Alphaproteobacteria; Hyphomicrobiales; Bartonellaceae.